This 158-nucleotide ribosomal RNA is filed under the name Pachyramichloridium pini. RNAcentral's name for it is "5.8S ribosomal RNA". It matches the Rfam family "5.8S ribosomal RNA". From Rfam's summary of the family: 5.8S ribosomal RNA (5.8S rRNA) is a component of the large subunit of the eukaryotic ribosome. It is transcribed by RNA polymerase I as part of the 45S precursor that also contains 18S and 28S rRNA. The record is from RNAcentral. Lineage: Eukaryota; Fungi; Ascomycota; Dothideomycetes; Mycosphaerellales; Mycosphaerellaceae.
AAACUUUCAACAACGGAUCUCUUGGUUCUGGCAUCGAUGAAGAACGCAGCGAAAUGCGAUAAGUAAUGUGAAUUGCAGAAUUCAGUGAACCAUCGAAUCUUUGAACGCACAUUGCGCCCCUUGGUAUUCCGGGGGGCAUGCCUGUUCGAGCGUCAUUU